RNAcentral lists this ribosomal RNA (390 nucleotides) under uncultured bacterium. RNAcentral's name for it is "bacterial SSU rRNA". It matches the Rfam family "Bacterial small subunit ribosomal RNA", at positions 28 to 424 of the family's 1533-position model. The record is from RNAcentral.
GACGAACGCUGGCGGCGUGCUUAACACAUGCAAGUCGAACGAUGAACCACUUCGGUGGGGAUUAGUGGCGAACGGGUGAGUAACACGUGGGCAAUCUGCCCUUCACUCUGGGACAAGCCCUGGAAACGGGGUCUAAUACCGGAUAAUACUUCUGCUCUCAUGGGCGGGGGUUGAAAGCUCCGGCGGUGAAGGAUGAGCCCGCGGCCUAUCAGCUUGUUGGUGAGGUAAUGGCNCACCAAGGCGACGACGGGUAGCCGGCCUGAGAGGGCGACCGGCCACACUGGGACUGAGACACGGCCCAGACUCCUACGGGAGGCAGCAGUGGGGAAUAUUGCACAAUGGGCGAAAGCCUGAUGCAGCGACGCCGCGUGAGGGAUGACGGCCUCGGUU